UGCUGAUCACAUUUUUUAUUAUUUAUUUAUCACUGUGGCACACAUCAAAUUUACAAAUUAUCCAGCAAAAAAAAUGCAAAAAUUAAAAAAUUAUUUCUACAAACGUUGACAUUAUAUGGUAAAAAAAUGGCGAGACAUUUUAGGUACAAUAUACACCAAAUGAGAUACCAUGUGGUGUCUACUUUCACAAAUGAUAGGCCUUAAUGGGGAAAUUUAAACUGUCAAAUUGCUCAAGUGCCCCAAACUAAGACAUAGAUCCAUCAAAUUCAUCUUUGAAUAUUCACACCUAAAAAGCUGCAAUGGUGUGGUCUCUUAUAUGGCACUAUAACUUUGUAUGAUAAGUGUCUAUGGCAUACAUUGGGGGUAUCGUACUCAGAAAAUGUUGCAGAGCAUAAUUUGGGGGUUUUAUCACAGCGGCAUUAGAUUUGCAAAAUACCUAGCAAAAAUGCAACGUUCAUGUAAAACAAAAUGCAAAAAUGAUGUGUUUUUUUUUCUUCUUCUUCUUCUACAAACAGAUUAACUGGUGAAGAAAUAGCGGCAAUUUAAGGUACAAUAUACACAUCAUGGGAGAGAUCCUCUGUCAGUGUCUAUUUUCAUAAAUGCAAGGCCUUUGUGGGAUAAUUUAAACAACCCUUUCAUGGACGGGGAGGGAAAAGGAGGGGCGCACCACUGGGUCUAAAAGUGUUCCUUUAAACGUCUUACUAUUACCAACUCCUUAAAUCAUUAGAGAGGUUACUGCUUUUUGCUCUGGAGUCAGCACUAGGAACCCUUCAGUAAGGUUAUAUUAGGUCAGUAGCUACUGCUGGCCGGAGGACUACAUGCUGGACUAUACUAUAUUCUUGGUAAACAAACUGCAUUGCACUGUUUCCUGAUAAAGUAUAAAAUGCCUUACUGGUGCACACAAAUAUUUGAUGUAUUAUAUAUGUAUAUUAUAUAUAUACCUACACAUACAAAAUUGAGGUACUUUGACAGAGGAUCACGUUAAAACAUUAAAUGGCAAUUUUAGGAUACUAAGUCCAUCUGUGCCUUACUCCCAAACUAGAUGUUUUAUGCAGAUUUUAAAAAGACAAAGCUCCACACUGGCUUUUGUGCAUGUACAUACAGUUGUAAUCAAAAAUAUUCAGCCCUCAUUUUCAGUUGAAUUUGAGGAAAACACUUGAUGCAUUUGUUGUUUUGAGCGAUUUCAGUUGCUCAAAGUAUGUAAAUUUUGACAAUAAACCUGAUUUUCAAUGGGGGUUUGAUAAUUUUGAUUACACAAAGUUUAGAUUUUGUGUGUAUACGUGGAUGUGUGUAUUACAGGGCUCGACAAAUCCCAGGCACAAGGUCGCCUUGGUGCCUGGGACAUGUGAGCCCGGCGCCCUCCAAGGCGGGCGGGAAGUCAGCUGGGGAAUUGUGGAGGUGGGCGGCAAGCUGGGGGAUUAUCGAGGCGGGGGGGCAUGCUGGGGUGUCGUGGAGGUGGGUGGGUAGCUGCGCGAAUAGGUGGGCAGUGAGGGAGUUGUGAUGUUCCUGCUUUGCUCCCUCGCGCGUGCCUUAGUGAGGCCGGAAAAUUACAUCAUAUUGCAGCCUCAUUAAGCAAGGGAGCAGAGCAGGGACAUCACAGCUCCCUCGCCGCUUGGCAACAAAAGGCGCAGCCAGCCACACGGCUCCAUAAUCCCCCAGCAUGCUGCCAAUCUCCAUAAUCCCCCAGCCGGUCACCCACUGGACCCCACAUGUAUUAAAACAAGCAAUAAUGUGUGUGUCUGUCAGUCAUGAUAUGUGUGUGUGUUUAGGUGACCCAUUUCGUUCCAUUUACAAGGUAAUGGUGGUUUUACUCACCUUUUUUCCCCCACGCUGUGCUGGUCUCCCCUCAACUGGCCCUGCCUCUAUGGCUGAGAUUAUCCAAUAUUUUCCCAUAGGAUUGGCUGCAAAACGCUGCACCAAUCAGCAUCUCCUCACAGAGAUGCAUUGAAUCAAUGCAUCUCUAUUGAGAACAUUCAGUGCCUCCAUGCAGAGUGUGGAGAUGUUGAAUGUAGGUGCUGCACAUUGUGAGUGACUGUCACUAGAGGUGUCACUAGGAAGUAAUUUAAACACUACCUUUUUCAUUUAAAGACUGCAGAUUAAAGGGUCAGUUUUACAUCCACCCCUGCAAGAAGUCCAUUUAAUUUGAAGACUUCAGUUUAAAAGGUACAGACUGAAAAUCAGAAGCUAUUCUACCGGAUUUCCUUCAUCUUAGUUACUACAUUAUUAAUUUACUAUAACAAUGUUACCAUUUGAACUUGUAGUAUACUACUGUAUAAUUUUGUACUUGCAGCUACAUGUAAUUAUUAAAGGACCACUGUAUAGUAUAAUUAUUAAAGAACAUUCUGUAUAGUGUAUGCUCCAUGCCACACAUCAUGAGUGCACUUUCCACAAUGCCAACAAGCUGGUAUAGUGCUUGCCCCAUGCCACCCCAGUCUAAGUACAGUUUGCCCCAUUUCGCCCAGCCUUGGUAGAGUUUGCCCCAUGCGCCCCAUAAAUUCCCCAAAUCCAGGUAGCAGAGUCCAGCCAGGUUUAAUAUAGUCACAGUAGAAUAAAGGGUUAAGGAUUGGCAGUAUGAGCAUAUAUCACAAUUAGCCUCCUGUCUGCUAGACCAGCAGGCAUGGAUUAUAUGCCAAAACAGCCUGGCACAUACCUGGGCUUUAAAUGCUAUUUAUUCUUUAAUGUCUUGCUGUGUGGCUGUCUGCUCACUGUACAUCAUGGCUAAUUUUUAUUUGGUGUGCAUUGGAAGAGGGGUAGUCUUAUACAGCGAGUAUACCCCAAACUCUAUAUUUUAACUGGAAAAGUUGGGGGUCGUCUUAUUCGCCGGAAAAUACGGUAUAUAGUAUGCUAUUCCAGCUUUUGGGAACCAGAGCCAAUCACCUCCUUAUUACCUUCACAUGCCAUCAGUUGCUGCAGUUAUACCAUUAACUCUCUAUGCCAUCUCAUACAAAUUCCUCUGCUACCUUUUGUCUCACUUCCACAGUAUACCUUUAGAUUGUAAGCUCACGGGCAGGCCCCUCUACCUGUUGUAUUGGUCUGUUUUUAUUGUAUUGUCUUUUUCCCAAUUGUACAGUGUUGCGGAAUAUGUUAGGUGCUAUAUAAAUACCAGUAAUAAGUAAAUAAAUAAAAUAAAAUGGCAGUGUUUACAUUGAAAAGCCUGCAGGGCUUCAAGGCAAAUAUGCCAAGCCCUGGUGUAUUAUAUGGAAACGCUUUACUAAGUACAUAUUAUUGCAUUUACAGAAACACUUUUUCUCCCCUAUAAAACCAUAGUACUCUAGAUCAUCCUGUGAAUAUCUUCACCCAAUUUCUGAGAGUUCUAUGCCUUUUAGAACUACUAAUUAAAAUCAAGAAAUACAGGACAAUCUGCAUGCAUCCAGUUCAGAUUAAAGGGACACUAUAGUCACCUGAACAACGUUAGCUUAAUGAAGCAGUUUUGGUGUAUAGAACAUGCCCCUGCAGCCUCACUGCUCAAUCCUCUGCCAUUUAGGAGUUAAAUCCCUUUGUUUAUGAACCCUAGUCACA
Non-coding RNA from Pelobates cultripes (western spadefoot toad), 3519 nucleotides. The record is from the annotation of a GenBank genome assembly. NCBI's taxonomy places the organism in Eukaryota, Metazoa, Chordata, Amphibia, Anura, Pelobatidae.